CCUGGCUCAGGAUGAACGCUAGCUACAGGCUUAACACAUGCAAGUCGAGGGGCAGCAUGGUCUUAGCUUGCUAAGACCGAUGGCGACCGGCGCACGGGUGAGUAACGCGUAUCCAACCUGCCUUACACUCUUGGACAGCCUUCUGAAAGGGAGAUUAAUACAAGAUGUUAUCAUGAGUAAGCAUUUUCGCAUGAUUAAAGGUUUACCGGUGUAAGAUGGGGAUGCGUUCCAUUAGAUAGUAGGCGGGGUAACGGCCCACCUAGUCUUCGAUGGAUAGGGGUUCUGAGAGGAAGGUCCCCCACAUUGGAACUGAGACACGGUCCAAACUCCUACGGGAGGCAGCAGUGAGGAAUAUUGGUCAAUGGACGAGAGUCUGAACCAGCCAAGUAGCGUGAAGGAUGAAGGUUCUAUGGAUUGUAAACUUCUUUUAUACGGGAAUAAACGGAUCCACGUGUGGAUUUUUGCAUGUACCGUAUGAAUAAGGAUCGGCUAACUCCGUGCCAGCAGCCGCGGUAAUACGGAGGAUCCGAGCGUUAUCCGGAUUUGUUGGGUUUAAAGGGAGCGUAGAUGGGUUGUUAAGUCAGUUGUGAAAGUUUGCGGCUCAACCGUAAAAUUGCAAUUGAUACUGGCAGUCUUGAGUACAGUUGAGGUAGGCGGAAUUCGUGGUGUAGCGGUGAAAUGCUUAGAUAUCACGAAGAACUCCGAUUGCGAAGGCAGCUUACUAACCUGUAACUGACAUUGAUGCUCGAAAGUGUGGGUAUCAAACAGGAUUAGAUACCCUGGUAGUCCACACGGUAAACGAUGAAUACUCGCUGUAGGCGAUAUACAGUCUGCGGCCAAGCGAAAGCAUUAAGUAUUCCACCUGGGGAGUACGCCGGCAACGGUGAAACUCAAAGGAAUUGACGGGGGCCCGCACAAGCGGAGGAACAUGUGGUUUAAUUCGAUGAUACGCGAGGAACCUUACCCGGGCUUAAAUUGCAACCGAAUAUGGCGGAAACGCUAUAGCUAGCAAUAGCGGUUGUGAAGGUGCUGCAUGGUUGUCGUCAGCUCGUGCCGUGAGGUGUCGGCUUAAGUGCCAUAACGAGCGCAACCCUUGCCGAUAGUUACUAACAGGUCAUGCUGAGGACUCUGUCGGGACUGCCAUCGUAAGAUGUGAGGAAGGUGGGGAUGACGUCAAAUCAGCACGGCCCUUACGUCCGGGGCUACACACGUGUUACAAUGGGGGGUACAGAGGGCUGCUACCACGCAAGUGGAUGCCAAUCCCAAAAACCUCUCUCAGUUCGGAUUGAAGUCUGCAACCCGACUUCAUGAAGCUGGAUUCGCUAGUAAUCGCGCAUCAGCCACGGCGCGGUGAAUACGUUCCCGGGCCUUGUACACACCGCC
This 1383-nucleotide ribosomal RNA is filed under the name uncultured bacterium. Its description in RNAcentral is "bacterial SSU rRNA". It matches the Rfam family "Bacterial small subunit ribosomal RNA", at positions 18 to 1394 of the family's 1533-position model. The record is from RNAcentral.